AGUGAACUCUGGCGGUAGGCCUAACACAUGCAAGUCGAACGGCAGCACAGUAAGAGCUUGCUCUUACGGGUGGCGAGUGGCGGACGGGUGAGGAAUACAUCGGAAUCUACUUUUUCGUGGGGGAUAACGUAGGGAAACUUACGCUAAUACCGCAUACGACCUACGGGUGAAAGCAGGGGAUCUUCGUACCUUGCGCGAUUGAAUGAGCCGAUGUCGGAUUAGCUAGUUGGCGGGGUAAAGGCCCACCAAGGCGACGAUCCGUAGCUGGUCUGAGAGGAUGAUCAGCCACACUGGAACUGAGACACGGUCCAGACUCCUACGGGAGGCAGCAGUGGGGAAUAUUGGACAAUGGGCGCAAGCCUGAUCCAGCCAUACCGCGUGGGUGAAGAAGGCCUUCGGGUUGUAAAGCCCUUUUGUUGGGAAAGAAAAGCAGCAGGUUAAUACCCCGCUGUUCUGACGGUACCCAAAGAAUAAGCACCGGCUAACUUCGUG
This 492-nucleotide ribosomal RNA is filed under the name uncultured bacterium. Its description in RNAcentral is "partial 16S ribosomal RNA". It matches the Rfam family "Bacterial small subunit ribosomal RNA", at positions 29 to 507 of the family's 1533-position model. The record is from RNAcentral.